AUUCAUUCAUUCAUUCAUGUGUGAUGUGUGUGUCAUCUUGUAUCUGCGCUCACAUAUAAGCUAUGGUGUGGAUGUGGAGAUCAAAGGACAGUGUUUGGGAGUUGGUUCUCCCAAGAGCCGAGCCUCUUAUAGCCUCCCCGUGCAGCUGUGUGCACAGUUCAAGUGGGAGGGGCUGGCUCCUGGAUAGCUUCCUAUGGCUGGAGAGAAGGUUCUAAAGCAGGAGUCUGUAGCUGUUCAGUGGAUCUUGGGGUUGCAGGGAGAAAUCUAGUCUUUUGCCCAGGAUUAAACUAUUUAGUGUUGCUUGGUUCACUUUGUGGCUCUGGUUCCAGAACUGAAGAGAGUUCCUUCUCACAGCCUUCCUUCAGUAACAUUGCACAGCAUUCUGUGGUGUGGGGACAUGAGGGACACUGCCAUUUGUGCCCCAUGUGAUAUGUGACUUAUUUUGCCAGUUGAAGGUAAAAUCUGGCAAUUUGGGAUAAGCGUGGAGUGACUGAACUGAAUAAAAGUUAUUUCUUC
Molecule: long non-coding RNA, 516 nt
Filed under: Mus musculus (house mouse)
Lineage: Eukaryota; Metazoa; Chordata; Mammalia; Rodentia; Muridae
Description: long non-coding RNA chr1:91559067-91559583
Source: RNAcentral